UCUAGACCAAUUUAGAAGCUCCUUGAGUCCAAAGAUGGUUGAGGCUUUGAUUUGCUCUUCAGAUUGGUUGAGAUCAAGCUCAUUGUUCAUGAAUGAUGAAGAAGAUAUUUCUGAAACUGAACAAGAGAAUGAAUUUGGAAUGGUGAUGGGUUCACUUGGUUCUGGAGAGGUGAAUGCCACAGCAAGUGCACCCGUGCAAAGUCGUACCGGCCCCUCUAGCUCGAGAGCUUGAUUUAUGUUGAUCAUGUUUUUGAACUUAUGAAUUACUAGAUGUUUGCUCGUGUUGAACUUAUAUUUUUAUUCAUAUUGUUGAACUUGUGUUUUUAUUCAUGUUGGUGAACUUGGUAUGUUGACAGGUUGAAUUUAGUUGGCUAGUUAAUUUGAGUUAUUAUGCAUCGUUGUCGUGUCGUUAUUUUGUUUUUUUUUUCUUUCUUAAAUCGAUUCUUAGCUAAAAUAAAAUUAUGAUAUAUUUAAUGUA
Molecule: long non-coding RNA, 478 nt
Organism: Salvia miltiorrhiza (redroot sage)
Lineage: Eukaryota; Viridiplantae; Streptophyta; Magnoliopsida; Lamiales; Lamiaceae
Exons: 2
Source: RefSeq, a predicted model, not a curated record